GUGGGGGAUAUUGCACAAUGGGGGAAACCCUGAUGCAGCGACGCCGCGUGUAGGAAGACGGUCCUCUGGAUUGUAAACUACUGUCUUCAGGGACGAUAAUGACGGUACCUGAGGAGGAAGCUCCGGCUAACUACGUGCCAGCAGCCGCGGUAAUACGUAGGGAGCGAGCGUUGUCCGGAAUUACUGGGUGUAAAGGGAGCGUAGGCGGGGAGGCAAGUUGGAUGUGAAAACUAUCGGCUCAACUGAUAGACUGCAUUCAAAACUGUUUCUCUUGAGUGAAGUAGAGGCAGGCGGAAUUCCUAGUGUAGCGGUGAAAUGCGUAGAUAUUAGGAGGAACACCAGUGGCGAAGGCGGCCUGCUGGGCUUUUACUGACGCUGAGGCUCGAAAGUGUGGGGAGCAAACAGGAUUAGAAACCCUUGUAGUCC
Molecule: ribosomal RNA, 426 nt
Filed under: uncultured bacterium
Lineage: Bacteria
Description: bacterial SSU rRNA
Rfam family: Bacterial small subunit ribosomal RNA
Source: RNAcentral